Molecule: ribosomal RNA, 253 nt
Filed under: uncultured prokaryote
Description: partial 16S ribosomal RNA
Rfam family: Bacterial small subunit ribosomal RNA
Source: RNAcentral
ACGGGGGGUGCGAGCGUUGUCCGGAAUCACUGGGCGUAAAGGGCGCGUAGGUGGUUUGAUAAGGGUGUGGUGAAGGCCCGGGGCUCAACCCCGGGUCUGCCGUGCCGACUGUCAAACUCGAGGACUGUAGAGGCAGGUGGAAUUCCGGGUGUAGCGGUGGAAUGCGUAGAGAUCCGGAAGAACACCGGUGGCGAAGGCGGCCUGCUGGGCAGUAGCUGACGCUGAGGCGCGACAGCGUGGGGAGCAAACAGGA